AAACUACGUUAAACGGUGUGAAUUGCAGAACACGCAGAACACUGGAAUUUUGAACGCACAUGGCAGGUUAGUGUUAUAACUAACCUUUGUCUGUGUGAGGGUUGUAUUCAGAGAAUCAAGGCUAAUUUUUGAAGAGCGGUGAGGUUGCCUAUUAAAUGUGUGACAUGCCCGCUGAUCGAAUUAAAAACACACUUGUGUUGCGCCUCUGGCCAGCGUCGGAGGAUAACGGCAACUGGACGAGUGUAUCUUUCUCUUUCUCACAACCUCACAUCAGGCAAGAUUACCCGCUUAAUUUAA
This 297-nucleotide unclassified non-coding RNA is filed under the name uncultured fungus. Its description in RNAcentral is "sequence contains ITS1". The stretch from base 1 to 104 matches the Rfam family "5.8S ribosomal RNA", at positions 50 to 154 of the family's 154-position model. Lineage: Eukaryota; Fungi. The record is from RNAcentral.